This 1473-nucleotide ribosomal RNA is filed under the name Triticum aestivum (bread wheat). RNAcentral's name for it is "partial small subunit ribosomal RNA". The record is from RNAcentral. Lineage: Eukaryota; Viridiplantae; Streptophyta; Magnoliopsida; Poales; Poaceae.
AUGGCCGGGAAGAAGAGCGCCGCGGUGAGCUCCGUGCCUUCCGAGGGUGAGGAGAGUGCCGUCGUCCCCGGCUCCACUGCCAAGCGCGGGCCCGGCAGACCUAAGAUGGACCCCGUCCCCGCCGGUGCCAGCCCCGGCUCCACUGCCAAGCGCGGGCCUGGGAGGCCUAAGAAGGAUCCCGUCCCCGCCGCCGCCGGCGCCAGCCCCGGCUCCACUGCCAAGCGCGGGGCCGGGAGGCCUAAGAAGGUCGCCGCCCCCGCCGAGUCCGGCAAGGGCUCUGCUCCGGAGCCCGGGAAGAGCGAGAUGGGGGAGAAGGGGGCGACCCCGAAGAAGCAGGGGAAGGGGGAGAAAGAGAAGGCGAAGGCGGCGACCCCGAAAAAGAAGGAGAAGGGGGACAAGGCGGCGGCGCCGGAGAAGAAGGAGAAGGGGGACAAGGCGGCGGCGCCGGAGAAGAAGGAGAAGGGGGACAAGGCGGCGGCGCCGGAGAAGAAGGAGAAGGGGGACAAGGCGGCGCCCCCGAAGAAGAAGGGGAAGGGGGAGAAGGCGGCGGCGCCAGAGAAGAAAGAGAAGGGGGAGAAGGUUGCUACCAAGAAGAAGGAGAAGGGGGAGAAGGGAGGGAAGGAGAAGAUGGGGGACACGGCGGCGACCCCAAAGAAGAAGGAGAAGAAGGGCGGCGAGGCGGCGGAGCCCGGAUCCGGAUCCGGGAAGCAGGAGCCGUCCGGCGAAGCGGGGAAGCCCAAGCCCAAGCCCACGCCCAAGAAGGCGAAGCAGCAGGCCUCAGACGGGGCGGCCAAGGAGACGCCCAGCAAGAGGAAGCGCGACGACGCCGGGGAACCCCAACCCCAGAAGUCGGCCAAGAGCGCCAAAAAAGUGGACGAGGCCACGCCCACCAAGAAGAAGCAAGCCUCCUCCGGCGGUGCUGAGAAGGCCACCACACCCAGCAAGACACCCCAGAAGAAGGAGGCAAAGAGCGCCAAGAAAAGCCCCGGCAAGGCGGAGAAGGCCACGCCGACCAAGAAGCAGCAGGCCUCCGGCGGGCCGGAGAAGGCCACACCGAGCAAGAGGAAGCAUGGCGAUCUGGAAUCCCCAAAGGCGGCGAAGAGCGGGCAGAAUGGCUCUUCGCCUGCGAAGAAACAGAAGGGCAAGGCAGCAGGGGCGGCGCCGGUGGCUGCCGAGCCGGGCACCUGCAGCUUCCCGAUGGCGCGGGUGCGGCUGCUGAUGCGGGACAAGGACGCCACCAUCCGAUCUAACAAUGAGACCGUCUUCCUCGUCAACAAGGCCUCGGAGUUAUUCUUGGAGGUAUUUGCGAAGGAUGCUCAUCAGAAUGCCCUGAAGGAACGUAAAAAGUCAAUUACCUACGAGAACCUUUCGACGGCGGUGUGCAAGGAGAAACGGUACAAGUUCCUAUCAGAUUUCGUGCCACUGAGGGUGACGGCCGGGGAUGCACUCAAGGCUGUGGUGAAGGAGCCGUAG